This 252-nucleotide ribosomal RNA is filed under the name uncultured bacterium. RNAcentral's name for it is "partial 16S ribosomal RNA". It matches the Rfam family "Bacterial small subunit ribosomal RNA", at positions 524 to 776 of the family's 1533-position model. The record is from RNAcentral.
UACGUAGGGUGCAAGCGUUGUCCGGAAUUAUUGGGCGUAAAGAGCUCGUAGGUGGUUUGUCGCGUUGUUCGUGAAAACUCACGGCUUAACUGUGAGCGUGCGGGCGAUACGGGCAGACUGGAGUACUGCAGGGGAGACUGGAAUUCCGUGGUAGCGGUGGAAUGCGCAGAUAUCAGGAGGAACACCGGUGGCGAAGGCGGGUCUCUGGGCAGUAACUGACGCUGAGGAGCGAAAGCGUGGGGAGCGAACAGG